GGUUAAAAUUUUUAAUGGAACAUUGAACAAGACGUAACGUCAGCUCGACGAGUUACUUUUUUUCUAUUUACGCAUGUGAGCACUUUCGCUGCUUGGGUAAUCAAAACAGACUGACUCCACUUGCGGCAGACAUAUGCGAGAAGACAGACAGCUAAUUAUGUCAAUUAAACGCUUGUGCCCGACAUUUGCCGCUGAUUGUCGGUGACACUUGGCCAACUCACAAUGACGAACGUGGAUCACUGCAUGUCAAAAGGAUGAAAUAACUGGAAUGACACACAGGACAAAAAUAUUGAAUGCAUUUUUCAAACCCUAAAGCCAACCAUUUUUGUAUGAUUUAAUCUUCGUUUUAUCUCAACAUGAAUGGCAGUAACCAAAGCGAUGUCAUCGAGCUUUAAGUGUUAUAUAUAGUGACGUGGGAAUGACGUCUGCACAUGUGAAUGUGUAACUGCCUCUGAAGGACAUAAUAUGCAAAUAAGUUUCGAACAACAGUCAGUUCAGUUCAGUUCGGUUCAGUUCAGUCGACUCCAUCACAAUCACAAUGGAAUGAUGGAAAAUAAAUAGAUGGACUAAAUAGGUCAGGGUCGAAUAGAUUUUACGUGGAAAACAAUGACUACUCAAGCAUUAAGUAGACCAAUUCGUUCGACCAAAAAUUCCAGAUGCAGACAAAUACGAAUACACCGGUGAAGUUGAUAGCUGCAAAAAUCCACUCACGUACAAACGUUGUACUAGUUAUUUGAACAAAACAAGCACACACACACUUGUGCACUUUUCCCAAUGGCAAUAGAAAAGCCCGAAAAAGAAAACAGUACUGGUAGAGAGGAAAAGUGAGGAGCCAGCACAGGUACAAAUCUAUAGAAACAACAAAUAGCAUGCACCCCACUCGUAACCAUAACAAUUCAAUCAAAUGUUCGCCCAGUUCGUCCAUGGACAUCUUCGAAUGGAAACAAACACAAUGCCGUUUCAGAGACAUCAAGAGCUUUUCUUCAAAGGAAAAAUGCGCUCUGUGCGGCUGCGCAGUAUCUAGUGUCCUAACUUUACCGCUUGUUAUCUGAAAGAGCAAGAGAGAAAUGCAAUACAGAUGAACUGGAUAAGAGGGAAAAUUGUGCGAUGUUUUCCCCUUUUGUAUAGGUGCAACUAAAUUGAAUAACU
Drosophila santomea is the source of this 1149-nucleotide long non-coding RNA. RefSeq lists it as uncharacterized. The transcript is spliced from 3 exons. NCBI's taxonomy places the organism in Eukaryota, Metazoa, Arthropoda, Insecta, Diptera, Drosophilidae. The record is from RefSeq and is a predicted model, not a curated record.